This 253-nucleotide ribosomal RNA is filed under the name uncultured bacterium. Its description in RNAcentral is "partial 16S ribosomal RNA". It matches the Rfam family "Bacterial small subunit ribosomal RNA", at positions 524 to 776 of the family's 1533-position model. The record is from RNAcentral.
UACGAAGGGGGCUAGCGUUGCUCGGAAUCACUGGGCGUAAAGCGCACGUAGGCGGAUUGUUAAGUCAGGGGUGAAAUCCUGGAGCUCAACUCCAGAACUGCCUUUGAUACUGGCGAUCUCGAGUCCGGGAGAGGUGAGUGGAACUGCGAGUGUAGAGGUGAAAUUCGUAGAUAUUCGCAAGAACACCAGUGGCGAAGGCGGCUCACUGGUCCGGUACUGACGCUGAGGUGCGAAAGCGUGGGGAGCAAACAGG